RNAcentral lists this ribosomal RNA (119 nucleotides) under Gossypium hirsutum (cotton). The record is from RNAcentral. Lineage: Eukaryota; Viridiplantae; Streptophyta; Magnoliopsida; Malvales; Malvaceae.
GGGUGCGAUCAUACCAGCACUAAUGUACCAGAUCCCAUCAGAACUCUGCAGCUAAGCGUAUUUGGGUGAGAGUAGUACUAGGAUUCGUGAACUCCUGGGAAGUCCUUGUGUUGCACCCC